RNAcentral lists this ribosomal RNA (118 nucleotides) under Clostridium sp. The record is from RNAcentral. RNAcentral also lists the same sequence under 6 other names. Lineage: Bacteria; Bacillati; Bacillota; Clostridia; Eubacteriales; Clostridiaceae.
GCCGGUGGUGAUGCGCUUAGGGGGCACACCCGUUCCCAUCCCGAACACGAUGGUUAAGACCUAAGCGGCCGAUGGUACUGCACUGGAGACGGUGUGGGAGAGUAGGUGGCUGCCGGCU